Molecule: non-coding RNA, 484 nt
Organism: Grammomys surdaster
Lineage: Eukaryota; Metazoa; Chordata; Mammalia; Rodentia; Muridae
Source: the annotation of a RefSeq genome assembly
AUGAAGCAGAUGUUUGGUCCAGGAACUAGAUUGACUGUCCUAGGCCAGCCCAAGGCUAUGCCCUCAGUCAAUCUGUUCCCACCUUCCUCUGGAGAGCUCAAGACUAACAAGGCCACACUGGUGUGUAUGAUCACUGGGUUCUAUCCAGCUGAUGUGACAGUGAUCUGGAAGGCAGAUGGUAUCCCUAUCACUCAGGGUAUGGAGACUACCCAGCCUUCCAAGCAGAGUGACAACGAGUACAUGGCUAGCAGCUACCUGCUUUUGACAGCAGAAUCAUGGGAAUCUCAUAACAUAUACAGCUGCCAUGUCACUCAUGAAGGGAACACUGUGGAGAAGAGUUUUUCCCGUGCUAAGUGUGCCUAAGUCAUCUGACCUUCAUCUUACUCACAGAGGCUGAGAUUAGAAACAUGUCCAAGUACACCCUUCGUGUUUUAGCCUACCAUAGCCUUUCUCCCACAAUAAAAUAUCCAUUCACAACCUGCAA